GAUGAACGCUGGCGGCGUGCCUAAUACAUGCAAGUCGAGCGAAAAGACGAGGAGCUUGCUCCUCUGACGUUAGCGGCGGACGGGGGAGUAACACGUGGAUAACCUACCUAUAAGACUGGGAUAACUUCGGGAAACCGGAGCUAAUACCGGAUAAUAUAUUGAACCGCAUGGUUCAAUAGUGAAAGACGGUUUUGCUGUCACUUAUAGAUGGAUCCGCGCCGCAUUAGCUAGUUGGUAAGGUAACGGCUUACCAAGGCAACGAUGCGUAGCCGACCUGAGAGGGUGAUCGGCCACACUGGAACUGAGACACGGUCCAGACUCCUACGGGAGGCAGCAGUAGGGAAUCUUCCGCAAUGGGCGAAAGCUUGACGGAGCAACGCCGCGUGAGUGAUGAAGGUCUUCGGAUCGUAAAACUCUGUUAUUAGGGAAGAACAAAUGUGUAAGUAACUAUGCACGUCUUGACGGUACCUAAUCAGAAAGCCACGGCUAACUACGUG
RNAcentral lists this ribosomal RNA (497 nucleotides) under uncultured bacterium. RNAcentral's name for it is "partial 16S ribosomal RNA". It matches the Rfam family "Bacterial small subunit ribosomal RNA", at positions 28 to 507 of the family's 1533-position model. The record is from RNAcentral.